GGAUGUGAGGGAGAUCUGGCUGUGACAUCUGUCAUCCCAUUCAUCUCCAGGGUUGAUUCAGCUUAUCUGGCUGGCUAGGUGGGUGUCCCCUUCCUUCCUCAUGGCUCCAGGUGUGUCCCUCCUGAAGCUGCUCGCUCAGUCAAAGAGGAUGACCAUCCCCAAUGGAGGAGGAUCGUUCUUCGGUCCAGGGUAUAUGAGUCACUGCACUCCCCUGCUAGAACCUCCAAACAAGCUCUCAGGCAUUCCUUCCCCACCAUGGAAAAGUAUCCACUUUUAUAAUUUUGUAU
This 287-nucleotide small RNA is filed under the name Castor canadensis (American beaver). Its description in RNAcentral is "7SK RNA (ENSCCNG00000003722.1)". It matches the Rfam family "7SK RNA". Rfam says of the family: 7SK was discovered as an abundant small nuclear RNA in the mid-70s but a possible function has only recently been suggested. The record is from RNAcentral. Lineage: Eukaryota; Metazoa; Chordata; Mammalia; Rodentia; Castoridae.